Molecule: transfer RNA, 75 nt
Filed under: subsurface metagenome
Description: tRNA-Met
Source: RNAcentral
CGCGGGGAGGCUGUUGGUUGCCCGGCCAGUCCCAUAAGCUGGCCUUCGUGGGUUCGAUUCCCACCCCCGCUACCA